This 230-nucleotide long non-coding RNA is filed under the name Lathyrus oleraceus (garden pea). RNAcentral describes it as "Pisum sativum (pea) long non-coding RNA (PSAT_LNC011537)". The record is from RNAcentral. Lineage: Eukaryota; Viridiplantae; Streptophyta; Magnoliopsida; Fabales; Fabaceae.
AUUUUGAUUGCCUUUGAUAAACACCAUAACAAUAGAUAACGAUAGAUUGACACUUGGUCUCUGUGGAUUCGACAAUCUUUUAUAUUACUCUGACGCGUUCGUAUACUUGCGAAACACCGCAUCAAGUUUUUGGCGCCGUUGCCGGGGACCAAUUUCGUCAAAUUUCAUUUUCCUAUUGUUAUAUCGUUUAGACUUAGGCUAUUUCCCGCCGGUCAAUGCGAAGAACUCGC